GCCAGACUCCUACGGGAGGCAGCAGUGGGGAAUAUUGCACAAUGGGGGAAACCCUGAUGCAGCGACGCCGCGUGAAGGAAGAAGUAUCUCGGUAUGUAAACUUCUAUCAGCAGGGAAGAAAACAGACGGUACCUGACUAAGAAGCCCCGGCUAACUACGUGCCAGCAGCCGCGGUAAUACGUAGGGGGCAAGCGUUAUCCGGAUUUACUGGGUGUAAAGGGGGCGCAGACGGCCAUGGCAAGCCCGGUGUGAAAGGCGGGGGCAUAACCCCUGGACUGCACUGGGAACUGUCAGGCUGGAGUGCCGGAGGGGUAAGCGGAAUUCCUGGUGUAGCGGUGAAAUGCGUAGAUAUCAGGAGGAACACCGGCGGCGAAGGCGGCUUUCUGGACUGAAACUGACGCUGAGGCACGAAAGCGUGGGGAGCGAACAGGAUUAGAUACCCCCGUAC
This 448-nucleotide ribosomal RNA is filed under the name uncultured bacterium. RNAcentral describes it as "bacterial SSU rRNA". It matches the Rfam family "Bacterial small subunit ribosomal RNA", at positions 330 to 793 of the family's 1533-position model. The record is from RNAcentral.